This 71-nucleotide transfer RNA is filed under the name Camelus bactrianus (Bactrian camel). It matches the Rfam family "tRNA". From Rfam's summary of the family: Transfer RNA (tRNA) molecules are approximately 80 nucleotides in length. Lineage: Eukaryota; Metazoa; Chordata; Mammalia; Artiodactyla; Camelidae. RNAcentral also lists the same sequence under 2 other names. The record is from Rfam by way of RNAcentral.
AGGGGUAAACUUAGUGGUAGAGUGCAUACCUAACAAGCACAAGGUCCUGGGUUCAAUCCCCGGUACCUCCA